This 706-nucleotide ribosomal RNA is filed under the name uncultured bacterium. Its description in RNAcentral is "bacterial SSU rRNA". It matches the Rfam family "Bacterial small subunit ribosomal RNA", at positions 107 to 810 of the family's 1533-position model. The record is from RNAcentral.
UGAGUAACACGUAUGGAACCUGCCCGUAGCAGGGGGAUAAGCGGAAGAAAUUCCGUCUAAUACCGCGUAAUAACUCCGAGGGGCAUCUCUUGGGGUUUAAAGGGUAACACCGGCUACGGAUGGCCAUGCGGCGCAUUAGCUAGUUGGCGGGGUAACGGCCCACCAAGGCGACGAUGCGUAGGGGUUCUGAGAGGAAGGUCCCCCACACUGGUACUGAGACACGGACCAGACUCCUACGGGAGGCAGCAGUGAGGAAUAUUGGUCAAUGGGCGCGAGCCUGAACCAGCCAAGUCGCGUGAGGGAAGACGGUCCUAUGGAUUGUAAACCUCUUUUGUCGGGGAGCAAAAGACGCCACGCGUGGCGUUCCGAGAGUACCCGAAGAAAAAGCAUCGGCUAACUCCGUGCCAGCAGCCGCGGUAAUACGGAGGAUGCGAGCGUUAUCCGGAUUUAUUGGGUUUAAAGGGUGCGCAGGCGGAAGAUCAAGUCAGCGGUAAAAUUGAGAGGCUCAACCUCUUCGAGCCGUUGAAACUGGUUUUCUUGAGUGAGCGAGAAGUAUGCGGAAUGCGUGGUGUAGCGGUGAAAUGCAUAGAUAUCACGCAGAACUCCGAUUGCGAAGGCAGCAUACCGGCGCUCAACUGACGCUCAUGCACGAAAGUGUGGGUAUCGAACAGGAUUAGAUACCCUGGUAGUCCACACAGUAAACGAU